CCCCUUCUCCCACUCCCUCGCGUGGCGCGGAGCACGUCCCCCCCUCCGCCUCCGCCGCCGCCGCCCCUCGCUCGCGGCGCGUCGCGUCACCCCCGCGCCCGUCCGUCUGACCGAAAGCGCCCGAAAGCCUCGCGCUGCCGACGAUUGUCGCGUUGCGUCGAUGUCGACAUCUCCAUCAUCGCCAACGUCGUCGUCAUCGUCUGAGAACUGAGCGGAUCCGACGCAAAGAUAAACGCAGAUAACCUUAUCCUGUUUCCGCAACAAGACCCGUGUUUCUCCAGCCGUCGUAUUGUCUUCGCAGGAUGUAUUCUUGAAAGGUUUACUAAUGAAAAGACCAGUGAUUGAUCAAGCAACGAUACAGAUGCGGUAUAAUUAACGUACAAUCUGCGAGUGAUAAAUCGAUCGGCGGAUAUUAUGUCUUUGUGUAUCGCGCCGUCAAAAAUACUCGACCGUAAUGUAUUUCAAGAAUGGAAAGCUCCCUCGAUCGCCCGGACGUUGGCAAAGAAAGAAAAGAUUGGCCGAUGGACGCAGAGCGAAUUAAUUUGCCGCUUUCUUGAGGAAGAAUGUGUGGCACAAUAAUUAUUGCAUCGCGCACGAUGCAUAAGGUUGACCGUGUUCGCUGCACACAUCGCGUGCAUCAGUCGGCCGACUUUUUCUCCGUUUUUCCUAAUGAGCGCCGGUUGCGCAUUCGACGUGUAUACAUAACUAUACGUACCGCAUAUAUAUGUAUAUGUAUAUAUCUUGUCGAGGAAGCAAUUUGCAGUAAAAGCGGCCGAUUGAGAUGAGACGAGAGCCAGCAAGAAAGACGCGGGACGGGAGCCGCACCUGCAUCGCUCUCGUCUCUUACGUGCUAUCCGAA
This is a long non-coding RNA of Camponotus floridanus (Florida carpenter ant), 859 nucleotides long. RefSeq lists it as uncharacterized. The transcript is spliced from 3 exons. The record is from RefSeq and is a predicted model, not a curated record. Lineage: Eukaryota; Metazoa; Arthropoda; Insecta; Hymenoptera; Formicidae.